RNAcentral lists this ribosomal RNA (473 nucleotides) under uncultured bacterium. RNAcentral describes it as "bacterial SSU rRNA". It matches the Rfam family "Bacterial small subunit ribosomal RNA", at positions 335 to 801 of the family's 1533-position model. The record is from RNAcentral.
ACUCCUACGGGAGGCAGCAGUAGGGAAUCUUCCACAAUGGGCGCAAGCCUGAUGGAGCAACACCGCGUGAGUGAAGAAGGGUUUCGGCUCGUAAAGCUCUGUUGUUAAAGAAGAACACGUAUGAGAGUAACUGUUCAUACGUUGACGGUAUUUAACCAGAAAGUCACGGCUAACUACGUGCCAGCAGCCGCGGUAAUACGUAGGUGGCAAGCGUUAUCCGGAUUUAUUGGGCGUAAAGAGAGUGCAGGCGGUUUUCUAAGUCUGAUGUGAAAGCCUUCGGCUUAACCGGAGAAGUGCAUCGGAAACUGGAUAACUUGAGUGCAGAAAAGGGUAGUGGAACUCCAUGUGUAGCGGUGGAAUGCGUAGAUAUAUGGAAGAACACCAGUGGCGAAGGCGGCUACCUGGUCUGCAACUGACGCUGAGACUCGAAAGCAUGGGUAGCGAACAGGAUUAGAUACCCUGGUAGGAUAGCG